UGGCCCAGUUGGUAGAGCAUGGUGUUUGCAACGCCAGGGUUGUGGGUUCGAUUCCCAC
This is a non-coding RNA of Salmo salar (Atlantic salmon), 58 nucleotides long. The record is from Rfam. Lineage: Eukaryota; Metazoa; Chordata; Actinopteri; Salmoniformes; Salmonidae.